RNAcentral lists this ribosomal RNA (497 nucleotides) under uncultured bacterium. RNAcentral's name for it is "partial 16S ribosomal RNA". It matches the Rfam family "Bacterial small subunit ribosomal RNA", at positions 28 to 507 of the family's 1533-position model. The record is from RNAcentral.
GAUGAACGCUGGCGGCGUGCCUAAUACAUGCAAGUCGAGCGAACGGACGAGAAGCUUGCUUUUCUGAUGUUAGCGGCGGACGGGUGAGUAACACGUGGAUAACCUACCUAUAAGACUGGGAUAACUUCGGGAAACCGGAGCUAAUACCGGAUAAUAUUUUGAACCGCAUGGUUCAAAAGUGAAAGACGGUCUUGCUGUCACUUAUAGAUGGAUCCGCGCUGCAUUAGCUAGUUGGUAAGGUAACGGCUUACCAAGGCAACGAUGCAUAGCCGACCUGAGAGAGUGAUCGGCCACACUGGAACUGAGACACGGUCCAGACUCCUACGGGAGGCAGCAGUAGGGAAUCUUCCGCAAUGGGCGAAAGCCUGACGGAGCAGCGCCGCGUGAGUGGUGAAGGUCUUCGGAUCGUAAAACUCUGUUAUUGGGGAAGAACAUAUGUGUAAGUAACUGUGCACAUCGUGACGGUACCUAAUCAGAAAGCCACGGCUAACUACGUG